GGUGCCUUAUUUUGAUACUGUUGAUUAACUUAAUGUCAUAAUGUCUAUAAAAGUGUUGCUUUGAGAACAGUAAUUACUAUUUAGAAAACUACACUUGUAAAUACUAAGUGCAGAUUAAGUCUUGUGGAAUCGAAAAGAGAUACUGGUGUUGUUUGAGGUUAUACUGUAUGUUAGUAGAUGUAUGGAAAUGACGUUCCAAAGACUGAACUGAGCCUCAAGAUAUUUUGGUUUGUAGGCCUGAUAACUUUUUCUAAAUUUGAUCUUUUUUAAUUUCUCUAGCAACUUUUUGCUCGGUCCCUAUAACUCUAUUAAGCCUUGACAUUGCUGGAGAGCACAAUAUAGAACUGGAAGUAAUAAAUUAAACUCCGUAAAUUGGCAAGGGACCUUUUGUUGAGUUGGUUGAGUCAUAAAUAACCCAGUCAUUGUAAGUACAUGGCAUUGAUACUGGGGACCAAACUUAAUAUAAAGGUAGGAUAUGGUACCUAUUUUGAAGCAUCAGUUAAAUGUUGGUCCAGUUGCUUAUGUGCACUAAGGGCCAAAUCUCAAAGCAUCCUGGCAACAAGCUGCUCCUCCAGCCAUAUUGCUCAUGAAAUGGAA
This is a long non-coding RNA of Telopea speciosissima, 597 nucleotides long. RefSeq lists it as uncharacterized. Lineage: Eukaryota; Viridiplantae; Streptophyta; Magnoliopsida; Proteales; Proteaceae. The transcript is spliced from 2 exons. The record is from RefSeq and is a predicted model, not a curated record.